This 293-nucleotide long non-coding RNA is filed under the name Nicotiana benthamiana. Its description in RNAcentral is "long non-coding RNA (NBEN_LNC004284)". The record is from RNAcentral. Lineage: Eukaryota; Viridiplantae; Streptophyta; Magnoliopsida; Solanales; Solanaceae.
GAUGACUUGUUAUCUGGUGAUUUACCAUCAUGACAUAAAAUUGUGUUAUUGACAUCACAUGCAUUCACCAUUUCACAACUUGUAUUGUUGUCCAUAUAGCUUUUCAAAACGGGAUGGUAAUUUUCCAAAUCUGCUUCAUGUAGUAGAACUUGUAUUGUUGUCCAUAUAGCUUUUCAAAACGGGAUGGUAAUUUUCCAAAUCUGCUUCAGCUGGGUUGCAUCUACUGCCAGUACCAUUAACAUUUCUUUGCACGGGUCCGCAUCUACUCACUGAAUUUGAGACUAAAGGCAACU